Molecule: ribosomal RNA, 503 nt
Filed under: uncultured bacterium
Lineage: Bacteria
Description: partial 16S ribosomal RNA
Rfam family: Bacterial small subunit ribosomal RNA
Source: RNAcentral
UGGGGAAUUUUGGACAAUGGGGGCAACCCUGAUCCAGCAAUGCCGCGUGUGUGAAGAAGGCCUUCGGGUUGUAAAGCACUUUGUCCGGAAAGAAAUCGCCCUGGCUAAUAUCCGGGGUGGAUGACGGUACUGGAAGAAUAAGCACCGGCUAACUACGUGCCAGCAGCCGCGGUAAUACGUAGGGUGCGAGCGUUAAUCGGAAUUACUGGGCGUAAAGCGUGCGCAGGCGGUUGUGCAAGACAGAUGUGAAAAUCCCCCGGGGCUUAAACCUGGGAAUGGCAUUUGUGACUGCACGGCUAGAGUGUGUCAGAGGGGGGUAGAAUUCCACGUGUAGCAGUGAAAUGCGUAGAUAUGUGGAGGAACACCGAUGGCGAAGGCAGCCCCCUGGGAUAACACUGACGCUCAUGCACGAAAGCGUGGGGAGCAAACAGGAUUAGAUACCCUGGUAGUCCACGCCCUAAAGCGAUGUCAACUAGUUGUCGGGUCUUAAUUGACUUGGUAAA